This 480-nucleotide ribosomal RNA is filed under the name Merluccius sp. XY1W. RNAcentral's name for it is "partial large subunit ribosomal RNA". It matches the Rfam family "Eukaryotic large subunit ribosomal RNA", at positions 87 to 486 of the family's 3401-position model. The record is from RNAcentral. Lineage: Eukaryota; Metazoa; Chordata; Actinopteri; Gadiformes; Merlucciidae.
CGGCGAGCGAAGAGGGAGAAGCCCAGCGCCGAAUCCCCGCCCGCCCAGUCGGGCGCGGGACAUGUGGCGUACGGAAGAUCGUUUUCCCGGUGUCGGCGUGGGGGCCUGAGUCCUUCUGAUUGAGGCUCAACCCAGGGACGGUGUGAGGCCGGUAGCGGCCCCCGUCGCGCCGGGGCGCGGUCUUCCCGGAGUCGGGUUGCUUGGGAAUGCAGCCCAAAGUGGGUGGUAAACUCCAUCUAAGGCUAAAUACUGGCACGAGACCGAUAGUCGACAAGUACCGUAAGGGAAAGUUGAAAAGAACUUUGAAGAGAGAGUUCAACAGGGCGUGAAACCGUUAAGAGGUAAACGGGUGGGGUCCGCGCAGUCUGCCCGGGGGACUCAACCCGGCGGGUUACGGUACGGCGGCUCGGUGUCUUGAGGAUCGUCUAGUCAGCGACCCCCGCCCGAGUCGGCUCCGGCCCCAGUGCGGUGCAUUUCCUC